Molecule: ribosomal RNA, 440 nt
Filed under: uncultured bacterium
Lineage: Bacteria
Description: partial 16S ribosomal RNA
Rfam family: Bacterial small subunit ribosomal RNA
Source: RNAcentral
CCUACGGGCGGCAGCAGUGGGGGAUAUUGCACAAUGGGGGGAACUCUGAUGCAGCGAUGCCGCGUGGGUGAAGAAGCGCCUCGGCGCGUAAAGCCCUGUCAGCAGGGAAGAAAACGACGGUACCUGAAGAAGAAGCCCCGGCUAACUACGUGCCAGCAGCCGCGGCAAUACGGAGGGGGCGAGCGUUAUCCGGAUUUACUGGGUGUAAAGGGGGCGCAGUCGGCGAUGCAAGCCAGGAGUGAAAGGCCGGGGCCCAACCCCGGGACUGCUCUUGAAACUGCGUGGCUGGAGAGCAGGAGGGGCAGGCGGAAUGUCUGGUGUAGCGGUGAAAUGCGUAGAGAUCAGAAGGAACACCGGUGGCGAAGGCAGCCUGCUAGACUGCAACUGACGUUGAGGCCCGAAAGCGUGGGGAGCAAACAGGAUUAGAUACCCGAGUAGUC